RNAcentral lists this ribosomal RNA (1464 nucleotides) under Triticum aestivum (bread wheat). Its description in RNAcentral is "partial small subunit ribosomal RNA". Lineage: Eukaryota; Viridiplantae; Streptophyta; Magnoliopsida; Poales; Poaceae. The record is from RNAcentral.
AUGGAUCCCACCGCCGGCGAGAAGCCGCACGCCGUGUGCCUGCCGUUCCCGGCGCAGGGGCACAUCACGCCGAUGAUGAAGCUGGCCAAGGUGCUCCGCUGCAGGGGCUUCCACGUCACCUUUGUCAGCACCGAGUACAACCACCGCCGCCUCGUCCGCUCCCGCGGCCCGAGCGCCGUCGCGGGCCUCCCCGGCUUCGCCUUCGCCACCAUCCCGGACGGACUGCCCUCGUCGGACGCCGACGCCACGCAAGACCCGGCGUCGAUCUCCUACUCCACCAUGACCACCUGCCUCCCCCACUUCAGGAACCUACUCGCUGGCCUCAACGGCAGCACAUCCGGGGCGCCGCCGGUCACGUGCGUCGUGGCGGACGGCCUCAUGAGCUUCGCCGUGGACGCCGCGAGGGAGCUCGGCGUGCCGUGCGCGCUCUUCUGGACGGCCAGCGCCUGCGGCUACAUGGGCUACCGCAACUUCCGCCCUCUCAUCGACCGGGGCAUCAUUCCCCUCAAAGACGAAGAGCAGCUGACGAACGGGUUCAUGGACAUGCCGGUGGACUGGGCGCCCGGGCUGAGCAAGCACAUGCGGCUGAAGGACUUCCCGAGCUUCCUCCGCACGACGGACCGCGACGACACCCUGCUGACCUUCCAGCUACACCAAGUCGAGCGCGCCGAGGCCGCGGACGCCGUCAUCAUCAACACCAUGGACGAGCUCGAGCAGCCGGCGCUGGACGCGAUGCGCGCCAUCAUACCGGCCAUCUACACCAUCGGCCCGCUCAACUCCCUCGCCGACCAAAUCAUCCCCCGUGGGGACCCCCUGCGCGCGGUGAGCUCCAGCCUCUGGAAAGAGGACGACACCUGCCUCCAGUGGCUCGACGGCAAGAGGACCCGCUCCGUGGUGUACGUGAACUUCGGGAGCGUGACCGUGAUGAGCAGCCACGAGCUGGCGGAGUUCGCGUGGGGGCUGGCCAACAGCGGCCAGGAGUUCCUCUGGAUCGUCAGGCCGGACGUCGUGAGGAGCAGCGAGGCCGCCGGCGCCGGCGCCGCGCUGCCCCCCGGGUUCCUGGAGGCGACCAGGGACAGGGGCCUCGUGGCGAGCUGGUGCGACCAGGAGGCGGUGCUGCGGCACGACGCCGUGUGCGCGUUCCUGACGCACAGCGGGUGGAACUCGACGGCGGAGGCCCUCUGCGGCGGCGUGCCGAUGCUGUGCUGGCCCUUCUUCGCGGAGCAGCAGACCAACUGCCGGUACAAGUGCGCCGAGUGGGGGGUGGCGAUGGAGAUCGGCGACAACGUGCGGCGGGAGGUGGUCCAGCGGAGGAUCGAGGAGGCGGUGGGCGGGGAGAAGGGAAGGGAGAUGAGGAAGAGAGCGGCCGAGUGGAGGGAGGUGGCUGUCCGGUCCAUGGCAAGAUCGUUGACCAAUCUUGAUUCGCUCAUCCAUGGUGUGUUGCUAUCUGGCAAGAAUAGUUAG